This 85-nucleotide transfer RNA is filed under the name Felis catus (domestic cat). It matches the Rfam family "tRNA". Rfam says of the family: Transfer RNA (tRNA) molecules are approximately 80 nucleotides in length. Their secondary structure includes four short double-helical elements and three loops (D, anti-codon, and T loops). Lineage: Eukaryota; Metazoa; Chordata; Mammalia; Carnivora; Felidae. The record is from Rfam by way of RNAcentral.
GCCUGGGUGGCUCAGUCGGCUGAGCGUCUGACUUCGGCUCAGGUCAUGAUCUCGCGGUCUGUGAGUUCGAGCCCCACGUCGGGCU